This 305-nucleotide unclassified non-coding RNA is filed under the name plant metagenome. RNAcentral describes it as "partial contains 5.8S ribosomal RNA, internal transcribed spacer 2, and large subunit ribosomal RNA". The stretch from base 1 to 104 matches the Rfam family "5.8S ribosomal RNA", at positions 51 to 154 of the family's 154-position model. The record is from RNAcentral.
AAAUGCGAUAAGUAAUGUGAAUUGCAGAAUUCAGUGAAUCAUCGAAUCUUUGAACGCACAUUGCGCCCGCCAGUAUUCUGGCGGGCAUGCCUGUCCGAGCGUCAUUUCAACCAUCAAGCCCCCGGGCUUGUGUUGGGGACCUGCGGCUGCCCGCAGGCCCUGAAAACCGGUGGCGGGCUCGCUGUCACACCGAGCGUAGUAGCAAUCACCUCGCUCAGGGCGUGCUGCGGGUUCCGGCCGUUAAACAGCCUUACAAAACCCAAGGUUGACCUCGGAUCAGGUAGGAAGACCCGCUGAACUUAAGC